RNAcentral lists this ribosomal RNA (385 nucleotides) under uncultured bacterium. RNAcentral's name for it is "bacterial SSU rRNA". It matches the Rfam family "Bacterial small subunit ribosomal RNA", at positions 30 to 416 of the family's 1533-position model. The record is from RNAcentral.
AUUGAACGCUGGCGGCAUGCCUUACACAUGCAAGUCGAACGGCAGCGCGGGGCAACCUGGCGGCGAGUGGCGAACGGGUGAGUAAUAUAUCGGAACAUACCCUAGAGUGGGGAUAACGUAGCGAAAGUUACGCUAAUACCGCAUACGCACUAAGGUGGAAAGUGGGGGAUUCGCAAGAACCUCAUGCUCAUGGAGUGGCCGAUAUCUGAUUAGCUAGUUGGUGAGGUAAAGGCUCACCAAGGCAACGAUCAGUAGCUGGUUUGAGAGAACGACCAGCCACACUGGAACUGAGACACGGUCCAGACUCCGACGGGAGGCAGCAGUGGGGAAUUUUGGACAAUGGGGGCAACCCUGAUCCAGCAAUGCCGCGUGAGUGAAGAAGGCC